CAUUUCGCAGUGAAUUUGCAAUGUUGCUACGUUGCGGUGGAAGAUUCCUGCAAUAUAUAUGCAAUCUUUUCGUGCUGCAUGGGGAAAAACACGUGUAUAGAUAGAACAAAUGGUUUUAUUUUAUCUGCUCCGAAUCACUUCCCGUUUCCCUAUCUGUUCCUUCUCGAUAUAAUUAAAUUUCUAAACUCGGAAGUUUGAAAUUGGAGUUCAAACAAGAUUACAAACGCAUAAAUGUGACAGGCACAUGAGAGCUUGCGAAAAUAUGAAAAUAAAGAAAUUAAGCAAAUUUGUCCUGUUAUGUAUCCCAAGCCAUCUAGAUAAAGAUAAAGCAAAUGUCAGUCUAUUUGCUUGUCCAUCUAUUUAGCCCUUCCCCGUCUCUUUCCCGCUGCAUCAUGCACCAACGGAACUGUGCCGACGCACCGUCGCUGGUCAACGUACGCGUGCCAAUCGCCAGCCAAGCAAGGGUGGAACCCCCUCGCGACCCCGUCCCUCCCCCGUCCUGUCGGCGGUGUCGCUGUUGCCCCACCACGCGCGCGCGUGUAACGUAAUCGCCGGUAAUAUACGCACCGGCGCGCCUCUUUUACGAGACGAGAGACGCGUGUGCGGUAUCCGCUCUCGCGUGCUAUUGGAUUCUGCGGUGCGGGCUCCGUGGUGUUUGUCGGCCCGCUCGGAAAAUUCGCGUGCGGUGUGUGCGUGCUGUUGCGGAAAAUUGUUCGACCAACCCCUCUCGCGACGCGCGUAUUGACGCGGCCGUGAGUCACCGUUCCGCGGAAAAGGCCGACAAAGUCGUCGCUUAUUUUCACGAAAUAUCGCUGUCCGCGAGCCGAGAACGAUCGCGAGCCCCGGGAGUACAUGCUCUCAUGUUCGGUUUUUAAAUAAGUAAAUAAAUCAUUAAGAACAGCUUAUUUCUUUCGCGCGAGCGAUCUUGGGCCUCAACCGACUGUCCUUUCCUUCUUUUCCCGGGGUUGAAUCAGAUAGUGACAAGGGGCGAGAGAAGAUCGGUCGUUAGCGACGUAAAUUUAAUCAAUUUCGCGCGUACCUCCGCUCGUCACGACGCCGUUUGCGAGGAUAAUGAUCGAGUUGCACAGUCAUCCCUCCCCGUUCACGUUCACGCUUUUGUGUUCCGAGAGAGAGAGACGAAUUCUGCCGUCUCGGAAACUUUUCCUGUGUCUCGCUUUUCAGGAUGGCAGGCGAUUGCCCUCGUAAUGAUAUAACCUUCCCAUGGAAACAGCACAAUUUUAUCUUGUUGAUAGAGAGAAAGAAGACGAGAGACGAAACAGAGAGAGGAAGAGAGUUGGAGAAAGCGCACGAGGGAAAAGCGAAUCGGGAGGAUGGGUAACGAGCAAGAUGGAGAAAGUGCCCGCACAAAACUGCGUUAUCUCCUCGGUCCCCGUCCUUUCCCGGUCCCUCGAGAGAUAUUUCGGUUGCGUCUGCUGACGUCAAAUACGGGAAAUCGUCCUAUAAAGCGAACGCACGCUGCACGUAAUCGGAGGACACUUAGAACCAGAAACGACACAGGAUGAAAGGCUCGAGUUACAUGUUAAUUGCUUUUGAUGGGGGACCAGAAUAAAAUGGAGUUAUCAACAAAUUAAAGUGUUACAGGAAUAUCGAGGAAUUCCGCUCGAUCGCUUCAAAAGUGUCGCUUAGCUCUUAAUUGGGUCGUUACGUCAUUCUCAGUGAUCCGAUCGAGGUGUGCAUAGUUCCGAAACUUGCUCGUUUCGUCGGAUUAAGUAGACCUUCACCGAAUUGCGAGUGUGCAAUCCAUGAACUACAGAAUGGGUUAAAGUCAUUUUUCCAACUGUGAAACUAAAAAAAAAGAAACUUAACUAAACUUCAAAGUAAACAGAUAAAAAUAUGCGAAAGCUAUGUAUUGAAAUAUUUCAAUAUUAAUUGUUAGACCGUAACUGAAAAAAAAACCAAAUCAUCCCACGUAUUAACAAAUAAGAGAAGAAUGUUUUCUGUUGUUUAGAGAUAAAUAUAGAGCGAUAAAUGUUUAGAAAUAAAUAAACAUAUCUGAAAUAUUUAGCGUGCAAACCAACGGGCAUGCGAGUAUAAAUAUAUGAUGUUAAACGUUCCCGUAAACAUUUAUAGAAACUGUCCGAUGAUAUGAGCGAUGAUAUAAAUGAUACCAAAAAAAUACUUGAAAAUAUUUAACAAAUAAAACAUGGACGUUUCGAUACGCGAACGUUUGUCGCGAAUUAGCCAAAUUAAUUCUGUCUGGCUCUUCGACGCGGGAUCCAAAGUUCCAUAAACCCACGUAAAAAUAUCGCCGAGUUUUUACACGCGAGUAUUAGCACGCGGGGAUGCAUUUCGCGGAACAGCAAAAGAUAAAGUAAUUCCAUUUAGCAGGCUCGCUCGCGAUUAAAAAUAGCGUCCCGCUGUCUUCGUGCGCGCGCGAUCUACUAACUCUCUCGACUGGCGCACCCAUUCGUGCGCCAUUUGUAUAGGGCGUACCAGAAAUCCCGUUCUUAAUUUUAAUGGUGCGACCGAGCGCGUACAGGAGAACGCGAUAUUAGGCUCCUGCUUAUACUCCGACUUUCGUAUCAUUAAGCGAGACGGACGAUAUUUCGGUAAUCCUUUAUAUGUUCAAAUAUUUUGAGACUUCUCGAAAUCUCUCGUGAAAAUUCUCAAACUAUUUUUUUACACGAAAUACUGUAAGUGAUUUAUAAUCUCUUUUGUAUAAACACCAUUCUGAAUGGACACAUACAAUUCCAUUAACAAUCGAUGCGCGAUACGGAAAGAGGUAACGAGUAGCGCGAUAAAAAUCGCGAUAACGUACAUAUCAUUUCGUUGCACAAGAUAAAUGAUGGCGAUAGCGUAAUCGCGUAAUACGAUUUUAAUUAAAUCAUGAAAGAAUCGUCUCCCUAUCACGCGUAUUGGGGAACAAGAAAAAUCUGAUGCUCGGUCUAAUCUGGUUUACAUCGCGAUAACAUCGGUUAUCGGGUGCCCAUGAAGAGGCCGAAAUUACUGACCGUAAUCCGAAUUAUUUUUUGAUGACCAAGAUACGUGCCUUUUAACGCUCUCUUCCAAAUCAACUUUCUCGUUCGUUUAUUAUAUUCAUAUCAAAAAUAAGAUUAUUGAUAUCUUGAUAGUCUGAUUUUCAUAUCUCUAAAUUUGCAUUGCUAUGAGUAUUUGUCUACUUUAAGUCUAUUUUGUAUCCAUUUUAUUCAUUUAGAAAUAUCCUAAAUUAGGAACAUCUGCUUACGUAAUAAUUGCGUCCCUCCCCCUUUCAUGUAAUUACAAUUUCAUUUGGUUUGAGGAAAUAUUUUUUACUUAUAUCAUUUAUAUAACAAUUCUAAAACAGAAAACGUGAGUAAUCAAGUUUGCUUCGAUUCAAAAGUCUGAUUUAGACAUACGUGUUGAAUUAUGUACUAGAUUGCUGCAAAAAGUUUUAUAUAAAGGUUUUAUAUUGUAUUAUACUUUUCAAAGUUAAAAAAAAAAGAUUACAACAAAAUCGUUAUUAUUAUAAUAGUUUCAAUCAGUUUCAUAUUGUUUUCUUAUUUAAAACUCUUCCAAUUUCAUCAAAUAAUCCGAAAUUUUUUAUUUUAACACAAAACUUUUUUUAAAAAACUUUCGCGGAUAGAUUUAUCAACUUUUAUACUGUAUAAUGCAUUCCAGUUUGCAAAUACAUACAUGUAUAUGGACUGGAAUAUGCAAGUAUAAGAGUUAUAACAAAUCUAUCCGCAAAAGUGUUUUUAAAUAAGUUUUGUGUUAAAAUAAAAAAUUUCGGAUAUAUCAAAAUCGAAGCACCUAUAUAUUAUAUUUCGUAGAAUCGCACGCUUCACAAUCCCCACUCUUCCAAUCACCACUCGUUGUGACUCUUACAUCACAAGUACUCCGUCCAUGAAUCGUCAUCGACAGCGUUCAUUUCCCGUGACUAAUUGCGGCUGUAAACGCAAAGAGCACGGCCGCAUGCUUUAUGAUUACGUUAACAAACAUCGAUGCGAUUUACGAAACCGCGUUGCGAAUCGUUGAUUCGCAUUUUACACCAUCUUCAUCCAGCCAGAUCCGCGCGUGAUGAUCCCGCGAAUGUUGAUCACACAAAGGACAUUCGAAACUGUGUUUAUGUGUCAUGGAAAAGGGCGAGACUCGCUGGUAGUGUGUGAUUAAUAUUAAUUAAUUAAGCGCUACCGUCGCCGCGCCGCCGCCGCCGCCGCCGCGUGACAAAUCGUCGAGAAAAAUUCCCGGAACGAGGUGUGUUCAAAUCCUCAAUGGCUUCAAGCUACAAGCAAUUAAUAAUUUAUUUGUCGAAACUGAUGUCUAUGCCAGAUUACACGUGACACCGAAUUCCGAGAUCCAGUGUAAAUCGUUUACGUCGUCAUACUGAUAGAUAAUUGACUCUGCAAUUAAACUCCGACGUAAGCACUGACGUAUGUCCGCACGUGCUCCUGCUACUCGAGAUCACUCGCGCUACAGCGAUCUAUUUCCAUCAUGUGAAUAGGAUCACUCUUCGCUAUCGUGUACAUUUAAUCGUGCGUAGAUUCAAUUUGCAUUGUAUUAUUAUGUUGUGACCUUAAUCGCGUUAUCUGAAAUAAUGUAACGUCGAGUAAGAGUGCAUAUUGCACCCUUCGCCCGGUGUACAGUGAUAGCGUCAUUUAUCACGUCAAGUGGGUAUAAUCGCGCUUCGUUAUUAAAUUAUUGCUCGAAUUUUAUUUAUUAACAACUAUUGGUAUCAUUAAGAGAUAUUUUAUUAGUAGGGAACGAUAUAGCGGUACGUCGGGGAGAACAUAAGACGUAAGAAAAAAAAGUUCAUUCGUAAAAAGAGUUAUAGUCGCCAAGGUAGAACGCCAGUCAUCGAUCUACACUACUGAUCUAUGCGCGUUGACUUACACUACUGCAACGCUAAAAUUAGGUCAGGACACAUUUCCAAUUUGCAUGAAGAUGCGAGAUAGAGUAUCACGGGAAAAAUGUCAUUAAUAAUAGUAUAAUGUGAUGUAGAGAAGGAAUCUAAUGGGCUGAAUUGCUGUAAUACAUCCCAUGAGAUAUGUAAAAGAGAUUGCGCGAAUGCUACUAAUAUCGACAAACAACGAUAGCAAAUAAUUCUUAACUGUUACGUUCUACUUUGCUGUGCUUAAUUUUUAACACUCGGGAGAAGAUAACUCGCAUGCGAAUAUCUCACGAAUAUCAGCAUUCUACACCUCUCUUUAUGCUUUAUGCUCAUUUAUAAAAUAUACGUCUCUCGCACUUCACUUUGCCACCUGACCUUUGGCUCUUGCAGUUACAAGUUACUAUGACUACAAUUUGCAGAACACCAUACCUUUCCCGUGACUUUCCCGUUUUAUAUCACCCGCGAGACUCGUCAGGUCCAGAAUGGAAUAAUUGUUUCCCGUCGACAGCCGGAAACGUUCGAAUUAUCCGAUUUCGUCGACAGCCAGUCGAAAACGGGUACUCGCACGAGGACUGUUAACCGACGUUAAAACGAUUACGCGCGAUCGGUCGACGUCUACGUGCGACGACUGCGUUUGACACACAGGUGUAGAUCCGUAAAAGAGCCGGUAGAUUCACGGGGCCACGGCCAGACUACGGUCAAGUUCUAUCCGAUGACUGCGGGAUCCGGUUUACGGUGACGGCGUUUACGGUUGCACACGCGGGCUUGGCUCAAGAAGAUAAAGUGAGUUCAGCGCAUAGAAACGACCUUCUUUCAAAACGCGAGCGUAAACGCGCGAGCUGCCGCGCUGCUCGAGUCAGCAGAUAAAAGACCUGACAGAUAUCAAGAUAUCAGAGACCGCGCUAUCACAUCGCGCCGUGCUCUGAUAACGCGCUAAAAUAAUUGUCAUGUAAACUCACCGGCUGUCGCCGUAAGACGCGGUCUGACGUCAAUCGCCGAGCAUCGACAAACUGGCGUCUGUACGCGUUGCGCGGUAUUAACGGUACCCGUCGUACGAGUGAUUGAAAGCGCCUGUAAUUUCGGUAAAACUCAGAUCCCGAUGGCCGUGCACGCGCGAAAGUGAUUCCCCGGUGUUUUCCCGUGAUAACGGAAACGUGACUCUCGCUUACCGUAUUAUCUGCCCACCGUUCGCCGAGUACCGUAAUCGAGCUCGUCGGGAUCACGCUGUCUCUAAUCCGCGUGACGGCUACACUUUUCCCGAUAUCGAUUCAUUAGACAUUGAUGUUUGGAACAAUUUAUGUGUACGUGUUAAAAUUAAUCAUCUAAUGUUUUAUUUAUAAGUAUCGAGAAUUCUAUUGUAAAGCCUGAUAAGUUUUUUUCUGAAAAGCGUGUAGAUUUCAUGUUAAUGUUAUUUAAGAAAAAUGUAACGCUUUGUUAUUACGUAUCUCAUAUCUGUUUUUUUUUCUCUUUCUCUCUCCCUUUUAUUCAUUCAAUUAUAUUCGCUCUAAAAAUUGACAUAUCGAUAUGCUAGUUUGAAACCUUUUUUACAAAAUGCUGCGCGCUUCAAUGUUCAAAAAUACUCUUUUUUUAUAUACAUUAAAUUUCCACGUUGAACAGAGAUUUCACAGUCAGCGUUUCCACAUUUAUAAAUUUACAGCAUUUUGUAUAUCAAUAUUCAUGGAUAUCUCUCCCAGGGAUUGACAUUACUCUUGAAGUCUCGACGUCGAUAUCUCCACUUGUUCGCAAUUGCAACCCACCAGGAAAAAAAAUCGACGCGAGAGGGAAAGAGAGAGAGGGAAAUCCUGCUUCGAAAAUGAAUCAGCGUUAUCUGCUUCGGGAAAUGCAAACGAGCCGCUUAUCGUGGCUCGCGUGCGGCAAUCGUAUACACGCGAACGGAUUCUUUCUGCGAUGCGAACGCGGAGAUGCUGAGGACUACUUUGUAAUAACAGUCGUCGGAGAAAUUGCCGUGUACUGCACAAAUGCGUGUAUCCGCUGGAUUCAUAAUGGCAGACUUUACCGGAAUGAGGAAUCAAAGAGAGGCACAACGCGGCGUUUUUUUGUCCUCUUUUUACUCUCCGGUAAUUUGAGAAAAAUCUCAAACGCAUAAUUUGCUGGAAAAAAAGCGAUACUGCUGUCGACACAAAAGACAAAAUCAGAUGAUGCUUUCGCGAUUAUUCGUUAUCUUAUCGCGAAUUAUGCAACGAGGAGCCAAUUUAUUCGCGAGUGCGUGUAGCAAUCUUAUGAUAGCCCUGUUCGGUCUCAAAACAACUCGAAACAAUUUUUCAGGACAACACCUUAAUCAGCGGCACCUUGCUUAUAAUAUAGAUUUCUUUAUAUUUCAUUUCGAUGAACUUUCCUUCCUCCUGGCUAUUUCCUUCUGUUCUAUUAUUUUUGAGAGACGAUACAUAGACUGUCCACGUGUAGUAAUAACACGGCUGACGUGCACCAUUCAUCACGGAAAAAUAAUUGCGAGGUACAUUAUUGCCACCGUGCAGUAGCAUCGCGUGUCAGCGAGCGGCAAUGAAAUUAUGCAACAAGACGAGGCGGGGAGGUGCCGAUCGUUGUCGUACUUGAGAUGCAACGCGUCGAACUUUGGCGCGCGCGAAAUUCUCCUGAAAAUUUUCGCGAGUAUUUGAUUAACAUUCGCAACCCGUCCGAGAAACGCGUCUCGGCUUUCAACGAGAAAGGACGGGCUGCUCGUGCCGAUGUCGUAAGUAGCACGAGAUUACAAAAGAUCAUACAGCCGAGAGAAUAUCGAUCGAUAGAGCGUGUAUAUAUACAUUAUAAAUGCAUGCCGAUAGUCGAGGAAAAGACGCGUUGGCGAAUAAGUUCAAGAUUUCCUCGGACACUAGCGUGGCUUUCUCUGGCACCGGUGGAAUUUUCCACAGCUACAACCAUUGUUUAGUAACAUAAAUAUUAUAAAUAACCAUUAAAGAAAUAAUAGAUACAGCGAUAAAUAAUUGUACGCGUGCUUCUGAUUGUUGCAUGUUUGUUACUUUAUUUCUCAUGAAUCCAACACAAAUUUAUUUAAUUAAUUUUAUAAUUAAAUAAUUUCUCAUGUUUUUCUAUUCCUCCCUGCUCAGGCAUGGUAUUUUCAAGAACUUUGGUAUCAACACAAAACAGAAUUUAUCCAACAUUUUUGAAGACUCGAAAGUCACACAGCCGACUAUGUUAAAUAACCACAAAGAUUUAGCGACAGAGGCCGGCUUUUUAGAAAACAGUGGCGCGCGGUGUUAACGAUGUAAGUAUGUAACCGAUAUCGGAUCGAUUGACCCGAAUCCCGACGGUGGAAAGAGGAUAAAUAAUAGUCGCGACCUGAUUCUACGAUAAUUCCUAUCGAGAGCGACACGACGACGGCAGCGUUCGCGGCCCUUGUUUCUCAUCGACGGAACACCUUAUUGCGCGAGGCGACCAUAUCGAUUAAUCCUUUAAAAGGUCAUGUCAAUAUAACGGCAGAAAAUGCAAUAUGCAUUGACACGAUGCGGCUCGAAGCUUGACAAAGAACGCAAGGAAUAUACAUCUCGAUCUCAUUAUAUUCCGCAGCGGCAAUUGUUCACGAAUAAAAAUCUAUUUCAACGUCAGCUGAUACGUAGAAUUGUGUACGUAACGAGCGCGUAAAGGAAUUUUGAUUUUAAUGUACACCUGUCAUUUAAAUCGGUGCACUGAUUGGUGUGAAUCGAGAUAUCGAGCACGGUACUUUUAAAAAUAACGAGUGAUUGUAAAUUUAGAUAUAAAAAUCUGUGCUCGACUCAAUAAAAUGUAAUUUAAAAAGAAAUCUGAUUUUAAAAUCAAAUCUAAUUUAAUCUGAGCAUUAAUUCUCACGAAUUAAUGAGCAUCAACCGUGAUUUAAUUUGAAGAAUGAAUAUCCUAACAAAAUCUGAAUAUAAAUAAAAGCAAAAAAUAAUUUUAUUUCAGAAAAAAAAAGAAAAGUUAUAAAGUUAUAAAUAAAAGUAUCGUUAAGAGAGGAGAAAAGUUAUUUAUUACGAGAAGAAAUGUUUGUUACGUGAAACACUAUACAUUGUAAAAGUAAUAUGGAAUAUAGUAUUAAAAUAAUAUCCGCUUUAUCUAGAUUUGAUGUAUCGUAUUUUACGGAAUGCAAAUGCUGGGUAAAUUAUAAUUAAACAAUUUUUUCACAAGAUUUAAUGAUACCAACCUUAGCAGAUCUUAGUUUUUAACAUUAUGAAAUCACAAUGUUUCAUACAUUCUUAUACAUAUGCAAAAACUUAAUCUACAUAUUAUAUUACUUUGUAAAAUAAUCGAAAAUAAAGAAGGAAUGCUUUCCAAUGUAACAAUACACGUCAUGUUCCAUCUAAUUUCAAUGAUACACAGCCCGUCCAAGCUCAUCGUGAAAAUUUCAGGCUGGGUAUAGUCAAAUAAUAAAAAUCAUUUAAAGUCGCAACUAAAUCCAUACGUAACAUUACGUGACAAAGAAAAAUAUUUGCACGAAAGGAAAAGUCACUCAUGUCGUGACUCGUGCUCUAAUAGCGGUGUAUUUUAAAUCUCAUGCCAUCAAAAACAGCGUUCUACACGCAGCCAAGGCACGCAAUAAUAAAAUAACAUUUGUGUACAUAGAAAACAAUGCAAUUUAGCCUUGAGCCUCUACCUCCUCCCUCUGCAGCUUCUCGUCCACCAACGAGGGGGCUUCUCAUCUCUCGCAUAUGAGGACCAUACAUCACCGACAAUGUCAAAAGCAUAUCUUCGCGCUAUAUGCCUCCCAGUUGACGCAGCUAAAUUUACCGAAACAUUUCCAGAUCGCAGAUGCGAAGUAAUGUAAAUGUCAGAAAAAUAACUUUGAGUGAAACGAAGGGAAAAGAAAAAAACCUUUGCGCACAACGAAGGAAACGUUAUCGGACCAAGAGAGAAGAACAAAGCAAGGAAUUCCAACUAAGGCUAAAAAUAUUCCAAGACACAACGAAGAAAUACAUUCCGGACUUUACAUUGGCGAAAGCGGAAGCUAUUUAUCAAUUUAGACCGCCUUCUUGUAAAGUAAUAUACAGUAUCUUUUUGAAAGUAAAUUUUUUAAUGUUUCCUUGUUAUCCGGAAUAUUAUCUCCCUCAUUCUUCAAGUGAGUGUAUUCCAUUUCCGUUCUUUAUUCGUAGAAAGACGUUUAAUGUACCGCUGGAAGCAACCAGUCCACUUACAUGUUGCAAAGGAAACGUGAAAUGUACAAAAUACAGGAAAUGUGCUCGGCUUAGAUAUCGUUUGUACAUCCAAUUAACAUUCUCUUAUUAUCGAUAAAUGAGACGAAUAAAAAUGUAAUGCCUGUACGAUUAACGGAUUUUUAUCGCGUUUCCGUAAUCUUUUCUACACAACGCGCUCUUUGCGCGAAUGCUUUUUAAUCGGCGUAUACAUGCUGCACGUGCAAUGUGUUAACAGUUAACGCGAGAUCCUGUCGGCGCCAUCGGCUCUUCCCUAUUUUUACACGCAUCCAGCCACGACGUGUAAAAAGUGAAGGAUAUAAAUAACAUCACCUAUUUACACGUUAAAUUGAAUUACAUGCGCAUGUGUAUCGGUACAAUAAUGCGAAAAAAGCCCAGCCGAGAAUAACUCGCGAACGAGGUGAAUUAUCAGCUUUGAAAAGUUUUAAUAUCAAGGGGAAAAAAAUACGUAUAUAUAGAUUACAUAUGCAUCAACCGCGCCACUUUGCAAGGAGGCCGAGAGAGUGGCGAGGAGUUUGCGACGGCGUGUGCGUACGGAAGAGAGGAGGAAAAAGCAGACCGAAGAAAGAGCGAGAGUAGGAGGGAAACAGGAAAAAUUCCAGUUAUGAUAUAGCACCGCGAUAUUUAAGCAGGCUCGCGGCGACGCGCACGCAUUGCGUGAAAUUAAUUUCUAUUUUCGGAGGCGGCCGGGAACGUGCGUAAAGAAUUUAGAGCACAGGGUAUACGUAAUUCCGAGGUAAAACCAAGGCGCGCGGGAGCGAGGAUCCCGAAUCGGAUAAGCGGAGACGAAGUUUAGCGGGAUCGAGAAGAACGAUGUAAUCGAGAAAUGUCCCCAUAAAAGCAAAUUGAAAAUUUAUGUAUACAUUGAUAUCACUUGUGGCAUCAUUUUAUGUUUAUCAUUAUACAGAAAAAUCUCCACGUAACGUUCAGCUGUCGCGGUUGCAAGAGAAAUUGAAUUUAAUUCCAUUUUGCUAAUAUUUUAAUCGAUCGAUUUAAUUCCAUUUUGUUGUAUUAAUUUUUCGAUCUAAUGUGAAGAUUUAAAUAAGUAUAUAAAAUUCGAUUGUUUUUCAAAAUCGUGUAUUUAUAUAGGAAUUAUAUAAUGUGUCUAAAAUAUUUUUCCAAGAUUUCAUUCAACACGUUUGCCUCGAGCAACUUUUGUAAGAGAAGUUAUUCUUGCAAAUUUGGCAGUACGAUCGAUCGCGACGACAAUGACCGAUCGCACGACAGCCCAUGCAAUCUCUAUCGUUGAGAAUGGAUCGACUGGAUGCGUUAACUGACACGAGCUAAUUGAUUCGGGUUAAGUACAUUGUAUUUUAUCCACGUGUGCGAUAUAUCAGAUUACGGAGGCAAAGUGUAAACACAAUCAAGCGGCGAGCGAAAAGGUCGACGCAAACUAAAUUGAGCGAUCGGCUCGGAAUUCAUCGUUUAUCGAUUGCACUUUAUCGCUCGAUCCUCCCUUUCCUGCCCUUUCAACAGUGUAUCCCGCUGCAAUAACAAAAUCCUUGAUAAAUUUAAAAAUUCUCCGCGAGAACGUUGACGGGCGUUUAUCGAUCAUUCAAUUCCUAGCUGAUUAGGUAUCGUUCAAACUUGACCGUGAAAUUAAAAUAUUUUUAAAAAGUAUCUAAAAUUCAACAAAAUAUGGACAAUCCAUGUCAAGGGAUUUUUAUUUUCGAUUGCUCAUGAUUCAAUAGUUAUUAACAUCUGAAUAUUUCGACGUCAAAAUUUCUUUUAUUAUUUUAUGUGGGAGAUUCGAGAUUAAACAAAAUGAGCCGCUGCAGGCGCGAUACAUUCUCGUACAUGAGAACUUUCUAUCGCACUGGAGAUAUAAUAAUUUCGUGGCGAGUCGGCAUCGGCAAUUUAUAGACGCGGAUGUAAUUUUUGCUAAAGCAGGAUACGGAGCGCGGAAGGAGACACGGACCUGGCUUCAUCUUCGGCCUGGCAUGAUCGAUUCACUGGUUGGUCAAUUAUUCAGUGUUUCGGUCGAAAUUGAAGUUCCACAUACAUACACACUACACACACACACACAUCGGCCUUCGCGGGUAUUAACUUCGAUUAAGGUCUCAUCCGAAGCAGGCGCCGCGAACGGCAAAAUAGAUGAUAUUAUUAGUAACGGGAUUAAAAUAGCGGGGCCGAUUAGAACGUGUUCCCUUGAUCCGGGCAAAUUUCGCCGAUGUCGUAAAUCUCGGGGAGAAUAAGGAAGCUGCGCCGAAUUUUAACCCCCCCUCAACUCGAUCGUUGCGUUUUCGGCGGCGCUAUAAAUGGCAUGAAAUUUAUGCGAGUUUACGUUUACAAUUAUUAUACAUAUCCAUGGCAUUUAACAUUGAAAGCUGAAUUAGCCGUAAUUGGUGCAACGCGCAUGAUAAAUAAUGAAAUUUCAUUACGUCCACACGCGCACACAACGUCGCAAAAAAUAUUUAUAAAACUACACUCACACACAAAAUGUUCCGAGCGAAAAAGUCAAUAUUUGCAGGGUGGCGAAAGGGCAACGCGCCGUCGAUUCGUCAUCGUUUUCAAUUGUGACGCGUAAUCGCGAAAAUAAUCGUGUAAGCGGCACAACGGUGACGUAUACGACUACAUUCGUUGGACAAUGAAAGGAGGAACUUGCAUGCACACACGCGUGUGUCGAAUACUUUUAACGCAGUUGCUAACGCGUCGCAACUGCGCUAACAACCGCAGCUCAUUAGCAAGUUUGUCAUCCGUGACUGAACGUGUUAACCACGUCCAUUAACCCCACAGAAAGCGGAAACGUGCGCCGCGCUACGAAAACCCGAAGGAAUUCCACCUUCGGAUAUCGAUUCAAACCCCGGAGAAAACCUACAGGAUGUUCCAACGUUGCCGGACGCGCCUCGAAUUUUCCAGCCAACGCGAAAAUGAAAUCUAAAGGAUAUCCGACGAUUCCGGGACACCCUGUGUGUGUCUCUCCACUUUUUCGUCGGAAGACGAGCGAAUACAGGCCCCGUUGCGAGCAGAGGUUGGAUGCCGAACAGAAGAGUUAAAUGAACCGUUACUAGUGAAUCUGCUUGUUUUAACGUUGCUCUCGAUCACGAUAUUUCGAUCCGGAGGGAAGACGCGAGAGGAGAUAGUCAUCGAGUUAUGCCGUAAAUUCAGAGUACCGGCCGGCCGUACGGAAAUUGCGGGGUAGUAUCCACAGUAUUUUUAACCAUCGUCGUCUGGUGUUCGUCGCCGACCAACGAGAUGAAAAAUUUGACUAGGUGGCAGGUACGUAACUUUUAAUACUCAGAGGGUGGCCUGGAAGGGGGAAGAGGACGAGGGGGUCCGGUACGUGUGCAUAUCUCGUUGGGGGAUUAAAAAUAACUAAGCACGUGUAAUGUGCUCUUCCACUGUUUGGCGACUGGAAAUACAUAUAUAUAGUCACACCGCACUGAUAACACUGUCUCUCUCUCUCUCUCUUUCUCUCUUCCCAUUUUUUCCCCUAAACUUUUUGAAGCUUGAUUUGAACGUUCUAUUCAGCCGCAAACAAAUAUCGAUCCCGAUAUCAACGACCUAUAUUGCAGAAACUGUGUCGGACCUUCCGGGCUCAUGUCAGCGAAUGUCUUUUCAACGACAGAAAGAGAUGAGUCUAAGAGAGAUGAUGAUUUCUCUCAUUUCCAAUUAGCGAAUAUCGAGAAUCAUUUUGACGAAAUGUGGAAAUAGAUAUUUAUGGUGAUGAAUGACAGAGAUUCUCGUGCGGUUGCAAAUAGAUAAGAGAAUCGUUUAGGAUUUACCUAGACAAGUAAUGAUCAUCAUUGGCGAAUGAUACAUGAAUGCAUUAUUCAAUUUAUUUAUAACCAUCAGAUGUUAUAGCGGACUGUAUUUUUAACUGGUUCACAGCCCGAUGACGGAAAGAGAUUGCCCAAGUGUGUUAUUUAUAAUCUACGACCACAGAACAAUAGCCUAACAUAAAACUUUCUAUCGAAACGAACGAAUAUCGCUGAGGAUGAUGUCUAAGUAUAUAAAUGUACAAAAGUACUGGAUUGUAACAAAAAUCCGUUUUUUAAUUUUUUUAAUGACAAAAAAUGACAAGGUUUUUUUUGAAAAGAUGGAAUCAUGAAGCUACCAGAAAGAUGUUAGUAGAACAAGACGACGAAUGUAGUUGAAUAAAUAUUUAUGUAUAUUAUAGAUAUCU
Molecule: long non-coding RNA, 14113 nt
Organism: Ooceraea biroi (clonal raider ant)
Lineage: Eukaryota; Metazoa; Arthropoda; Insecta; Hymenoptera; Formicidae
Source: RefSeq, a predicted model, not a curated record